Molecule: ribosomal RNA, 459 nt
Filed under: uncultured bacterium
Lineage: Bacteria
Description: partial 16S ribosomal RNA
Rfam family: Bacterial small subunit ribosomal RNA
Source: RNAcentral
CCUACGGGUGGCAGCAGUGAGGAAUAUUGGUCAAUGGCCGCAGGGCUGAACCAGCCAAGUCGCGUGAGGGAUGACGGUCCUAUGGAUUGUAAACCUCUUUUGUCAGGGAGCAAAGGGCGCCACGUGUGGCGCUUUGCGAGUACCUGAAGAAAAAGCAUCGGCUAACUCCGUGCCAGCAGCCGCGGUAAUACGGAGGAUGCGAGCGUUAUCCGGAUUUAUUGGGUUAAAGGGGUGCGCAGGCGGAAUGUCAAGUCAGCGGUAAAAUUUCGGGGCUCAACCCCGUCGUGCCGUUGAAACUGGCGUUCUUGAGUGAGCGAGAAGUAUGCGGAAUGCGUGGUGUAGCGGUGAAAUGCAUAGAUAUCACGCAGAACUCCGAUUGCGAAGGCAGCAUACUGGCGCUCAACUGACGCUCAUGCACGAAAGCGUGGGUAUCGAACAGGAUUAGAUACCCUGGUAGUC